Molecule: long non-coding RNA, 842 nt
Filed under: Setaria italica (foxtail millet)
Lineage: Eukaryota; Viridiplantae; Streptophyta; Magnoliopsida; Poales; Poaceae
Description: long non-coding RNA (SITA_LNC002447)
Source: RNAcentral
UCAACACUACGAGCCCUCGCGCUCUGAUUUCGACUUGUAGUCACAAGUCAUGACUACCCUACUAGUCCCAAAGCUCCCCAGAGGAUCAAGUCUACCACAACAAAAGAGUACUCAAAGUCACUCCCUUUCCUAUAUGCAUUCUUCGUAAUAAUGAAAUUUUGUAGGAAUACAACAUAACUCCAUUCUAAGAAGUCAGAGUAUUCAAAAUACAACAUAAGUGCACAACAACGACUAUAAGCAACUGCCUACUGGCAGCCACAAUAGAAGUCCUAGGCUUUUAUCAUAUCACAAGGAUACACUUAAGCCUCACGACUACUCGCAGAUCAGGAGCAAAAAGCAUCAAGCGAGAGGAAGUACACGCAAGAAAGCUGCACUCUAGGCAGCUGUACCCUCCUCCACUCGACGACACCUUAGAUGGGGAUAAGAGUACCAGGUACUCCUUCACCGCCUCUCCCCAACGUCACCUCGGGCCUCUCUUCCCCAAAACCCGGCACAGGACUAUGGGUACACAUCAUGCACUUGAGUCCUACCCAGAGAAACUGCGGAAGAGGCGAGUAGUCGGAACCACACCUCCAUCUUUCACCAGAGAAUUGGAUAAAGACCGCGGAACUCAUCAUCCUUCACUCGCGAGUUCCAGCACGAACUGAGCUGGAUCUUAGGCGACAAGGCAGAGCUCACAGUGAACCCUCAUACGAGGAUUCUUCUAGCAUCCCAGCAAGUACAUCUAACGUGAAGAUCUGUGGAGGGAAGGUGGCUCUAAUCUACUAGGAAUCUUCUAGCACCGGGGCGCUCAUUGGAAGCUUACUACUAUCGAACAACAGCAACCUAAAGCAAGCCAUCGC